This is an RNA transcript of Musa acuminata AAA Group (dessert banana), 1480 nucleotides long. It is a transcript of the gene named trihelix transcription factor GT-3b-like, with no coding region annotated. Lineage: Eukaryota; Viridiplantae; Streptophyta; Magnoliopsida; Zingiberales; Musaceae. The record is from RefSeq and is a predicted model, not a curated record. The transcript has 3 exons.
CGAGGCCACCAUCCCUCCCCAUCACCCAUCAAGAUCUUCCUUCCGUUCCCACGAUCUCUCUCUCUCUCUCUCUCGCUUCUCUCUUCUCUCUUCCUUCCAUGGAACUCCACCCUUACCUCCGAGUUAAACCCCCCCAGGAGACCUCAGAACGGUUCCCCCAGUGGACUCAUGACGAGACCAUGGUGUUCCUCGCCAUCCGCGCCCAGCUCGACAAGAGCUUCGUCGAGACCAAGCGUAACAAGCCCUUGUGGCAAGCCAUCUCUUCCUUGCUGCAGCAGAGAGGCUUCUUCCGGACCCCCGACCAGUGCAAGUCCAAGUGGAAGAACCUCGUCACGCGGUUCAAGGGAAGUGAGUCUGUGGAGGGAGAGAUCAAUCGGCAGUUCCCUUUCUACGAAGAAAUGAGGAAGAUAUUCUCCGAUAGGAUGGAGAGGCUGCUCGUCCUCGAGAAGGCGAGGGGGAAACAGGUGCAAGUCCAAGCGAAAGAGUGGGAGGAGGAAGAGGGGGAAGGGAAGGUGGCGGGGAGCAAGAAGAGGCGGAAGGUGGAGAGAAAGAACCGGCCCGACGAAGAGGUGGAAGGUGCCGUGAGGGACUUUAUGCGGCGGCAGCUGGAGAUGGAGGCUCGAUGGGCGGAGGCGGUUGAGGCGAGGGAUGCAGAGCGGAGGGCCAAGGAGGAGCAGUGGAGGAGGCUGAUGCACGGCUUGCAGGAGGAGAGGACGGACCUGGAGAGGCGGUGGAGGGAGCGGGAGGAGGAGCGGCGCGUCCGGGAGGAGACCCGAGCCGAGAGGCGGCACGCCCUCCUUAUCGCCCUUCUCAACAAGCUCGUUCACAAGGAUUGCUAGUUUGCAGCAACAGCAAUCACAGCUCUAAGCUUCGCUCUAUGGAAGAAGUGAGAGAGAGAGAGAGAGAGAAAGAAAGUUGAUGCAGAUACCAAUGCAGUGGAAUCGAAAACUGGAGUGGCAUUGACUGCUGCAACAAAUAAAUUGAAAUAAAGAUGAUAUGAUUUAGUAGCCACAACAACAAAUCUAUUCCAGACUUUUAUCUGGAGUAUAUUGUCUACUGCUUCAAACCUUGUAGUCUUAAUCUGACUCCCACUGUAAAUGAUGAGAGAUAUGGAGGAGAUUCUUAUCUGAUGGAUUCAAGGGCCACAGCUUUCUACAGCAGCAGCAGCAGCAGCAGCAGCAGUGAAUGAUGGACUUUUGAAUUCAGCAGCAGACAUGAGGAUGUUUUGUUGACCAUUUCAUCUGAAUAUUAUUAAUUAGCAGUGGCAUUUUGCAGGAGGGAGAAUGCAUGUUGGGUUUGAUGGCUGUAGUGUCUUCAUUCUGACAACAAUCUUUAAGGGCACAACUCACUGUGUCCAAUUUUCUGUGCAGCAUAUAGGACUUGUGUGUCAUGCUUCCAAGUCUGUAGCUGUAUGUGUUUGAACCUUUUCGAUUGAAUUGGGCUUAGUAAUAAUAAUUAAGACCAGCUUGAUGGAUCUCUU